RNAcentral lists this ribosomal RNA (743 nucleotides) under uncultured archaeon. Its description in RNAcentral is "bacterial SSU rRNA". It matches the Rfam family "Archaeal small subunit ribosomal RNA", at positions 27 to 771 of the family's 1478-position model. The record is from RNAcentral.
UUGCUAUCGGGGUCCGAUUUAGCCAUGCUAGUCGUGCGGGUUCAGACCCGCGGCGUAUAGCUCAGUAACACGUGGCCAAACUACCCACCAGACGAGAACAACCUCGGGAAACUGAGGCUAACACUCGAUACGCGUUGACCGUUUGAACACGUCGACGCCCAAACGCUCCGGCGCUGGUGGAUGUGGCUGCGGCCGAUUAGGUAGACGGUGGGGUAACGGCCCACCGUGCCAAUAAUCGGUACGGGUUGUGAGAGCAAGAGCCCGGAGACGGUAUCUGAGACAAGAUACCGGGCCCUACGGGGCGCAGCAGGCGCGAAACCUUUACACUGCACGCCAGUGCGAUAAGGGGACCCCGAGUGAAAGGGCAUAUCGCCCUUUCUUUUCUGAACCGUAGGGAGGUUCAGGAACAAGAGCUGGGCAAGACCGGUGCCAGCCGCCGCGGUAAUACCGGCAGCUCGAGUGAUGACCGAUAUUAUUGGGCCUAAAGCGUCCGUAGCUGGCCGCGCAAGUCUGUCGGGAAAUCCACCCGCUCAACGGGUGGGCGUCCGGCGGAAACUGUGCGGCUUGGGACAGGAAGGCUCGAGGGGUACGUUCGGGGUAGGAGUGAAAUCCCGUAAUCCUGAACGGACCACCGAUGGCGAAAGCACCUCGAGAGGACUGAUCCGACAGUGAGGGACGAAAGCUGGGGUCUCGAACCGGAUUAGAUACCCGGGUAGUCCCAGCCGUAAACGAUGUUCGCUAGG